CUUUCACCUGUAAGUCUAUAAAAGCUAUACUAUCCUACUAGGGUUACAGGUAGUGAGGUGGCGAAUUCUCCUUCAGCCGCCGUCAUCGGUGUUACCGCCGCCGGCUGCGGCAUCUCUGCCACCCAAUUCCGCCGUCUGUGUGCCACGGCGGUGGUUUUCAUUUAUAGCUUUUUACUCUGAAAAAUUACUGAUUUUGAAUUUUCGAUGAUACCCAGAUGGAAGAAACAUAGCUAAGAGUGGUUUUUGUGGAUCAGAUCUGUAUUCAUCAAAUGAUGGUAUUUUCCAUGUUAAGAAUCUCGAAGCCAAUCGAUUGAAGACUAGUGCUAGAAAAAGUUAUGAUGUUGCUGGAUGGAAUCAGAAGAUAAAAACUUAUUGUUCGUUUGAAGGAAAUGGCACUAUGCCUCUCCCUAAAAUGUUUAAUAGAUUUGUACGACCAGGGCAUGUGGAAUACGAGCUGCUUUCUUAUAUCACAAUGAUCAGUCUUCGGAAAUUGAUGAUAUAGUGGUUUGGAAGAUGAGGCAAAAAAAGCUUAUGAAGCAACCUAGUUGAAUGUUCAAAUCAAUUGACCACUUUGAUUUGGUAAUACAACUAUAGCCAAGACAAUGCUUCAUUAUAAGUGCAUAACUUUUCACUUUAUUGUUUGAGCAUUGUGUUGAUUUCUCUUAACUUGUUUUUCGUUGAACAAGAUUGUUUUUUCAUAUACUCGUGAAAUGCAACACCGUGCUCAGAAGUUAGAGUGAAAUGUUAUGCAUUUGUGAUUAUAUAUUUUCUUGGCUAGAGUUGUAUUGCCAAGUGAAGUGUUUUAAUUGAUUUGAACCUUCGAGUGAGUUGCUUCGUGAUCUUCUUAUGCCUUAGCUUCAGAACUUACCACUAUAUCAUCAAUUCUCGAAGAGUGUGGCCUACCUGAAUGCUCUCACUAAACUAUUCAGACAGCGUUGAAUGAUCUUAACCUUGAAAUGAACGAGACGAGGAAACCACUUGGUGUUGUAAAUCUCUACUGUUGAGGCUUUAUUUUUGGCAGUUCUUAAAUAUGUCUAUCUUAAGUUUUGUAAUUAAUUUAUGUUUGUUUAGUAUAUCUCUGUUGUUACCCCUUUGUAAUCUUUUGGAUUCAAUAAUGAAGUUGGUUUGGAAAUA
This is a long non-coding RNA of Solanum pennellii, 1134 nucleotides long. RefSeq lists it as uncharacterized. Lineage: Eukaryota; Viridiplantae; Streptophyta; Magnoliopsida; Solanales; Solanaceae. The record is from RefSeq and is a predicted model, not a curated record. The transcript is spliced from 2 exons.